RNAcentral lists this ribosomal RNA (301 nucleotides) under uncultured bacterium. RNAcentral's name for it is "partial 16S ribosomal RNA". It matches the Rfam family "Bacterial small subunit ribosomal RNA", at positions 509 to 809 of the family's 1533-position model. The record is from RNAcentral.
CAGUAGCCGCGGUAAUACGUAGGGUGCGAGCGUUAAUCGGAAUUACUGGGCGUAAAGCGUGCGCAGGCGGUUAUAUAAGACAGAUGUGAAAUCCCCGGGCUCAACCUGGGACCUGCAUUUGUGACUGUAUAGCUAGAGUACGGUAGAGGGGGAUGGAAUUCCGCGUGUAGCAGUGAAAUGCGUAGAUAUGCGGAGGAACACCGAUGGCGAAGGCAAUCCUCUGGACCUGUACUGACGCUCAUGCACGAAAGCGUGGGGAGCAAACAGGAUUAGAUACCCGCGUAGUCCCUGUCUCUUAUAA